AAAAAGACAAACCUUGGUUUCCGUGCCCAAUGUUUGACUAUCCGUCUUAUUUGAAAAAAUUAUGAAAAAAAUAAAAAGACAAGUCACGCAUAAAAUAUUAAUCAUGUUUUAUCAUUUAACAACAAUGAAAAUACGAAUUAUAAAAAAUUUUCAUAUAAAACGGACAGUCAAAGUUAGACAUGGAAACCCAGGGUUUGCCUUUCU
RNAcentral lists this microRNA precursor (204 nucleotides) under Oryza nivara. RNAcentral's name for it is "MIR812 microRNA precursor family". It matches the Rfam family "MIR812 microRNA precursor family". Lineage: Eukaryota; Viridiplantae; Streptophyta; Magnoliopsida; Poales; Poaceae. The record is from Rfam by way of RNAcentral.